Molecule: long non-coding RNA, 508 nt
Filed under: Homo sapiens (human)
Lineage: Eukaryota; Metazoa; Chordata; Mammalia; Primates; Hominidae
Description: long intergenic non-protein coding RNA 2966
Source: RNAcentral
AGCUGGGAAAACGGCAAUGGAUUAAUAACAAGAAAUUAAUGGUGAAGUGGUGACGAAAAUUCUACAUUGCUUAGAAAGCAAAUAGUGAAAUGAACAUUUACAUUCUGGCAACCUCAGAAGUACAACGAACAGAGGACACCAGCCAGGUAGGGCAAAGGCCUGUGCGCCCCCUUUUGCUGUUACAUGUUUAUCAGAUGCGUGCUCUGUUUCUGUUGUAUUACAUUACUUUUCUCUUCAAUGUCUACUGAGGAAGAACAAGUAGCUCCUCAGGCAAGUCAACUGUUAACUCUGCAGUUUUUAUUUAAUCUCCCAGGAAUGUAACCCUUAACUUUAAAGAAUGUAGUGACCAUAAAACUUAUAAGGCAUGUUUCUUAAGGAAAUUGUACCUGUUUAUUUAAUCUAUCAGAUAUGAAUGUUAUAGAAAAUUAAAUUUGUCCACUUAAGCUGUAGAUGAACUUUUCACCUUUCUGAUCAGAAAUUCACCAUUUUAUAGUAUAGGUUCUGUUAU